Molecule: transfer RNA, 328 nt
Filed under: Helianthus annuus (common sunflower)
Lineage: Eukaryota; Viridiplantae; Streptophyta; Magnoliopsida; Asterales; Asteraceae
Description: hypothetical non coding rna
Rfam family: tRNA (bases 2-73)
Source: RNAcentral
GGCCCCUAUGGUCCAGCGGUUACGACCUCUCUUUUUCACGGAGAAAACGAGGGUUCAAGUCCCUCUGGGGGUAUACUAAGACUCAAGACGAUAGGAGUGGGAUUUUCUAUCAAGUGAUCUAUAUUUGUCAAGUCCUUCUAAUAGUCUACUCAGUGGGACUUUGUAUUUUAGAUCAAGUGAUAUGUAUUUAUCAAAUCUGCCUGGGGACAAUAUUGUGGAACGUCUAAAAUAAAUUAGGCGUUGGGUCGAUGCCCGAGUGGUUAAUGGGGACGGACUGUAAAUUCGUUGACAAUAUGUCUACGCUGGUUCAAAUCCAGCUCGGCCCAAC